Molecule: transfer RNA, 71 nt
Filed under: Lactobacillus delbrueckii
Lineage: Bacteria; Bacillati; Bacillota; Bacilli; Lactobacillales; Lactobacillaceae
Also listed under: 1 other name
Description: tRNA-Gly
Rfam family: tRNA
About the family: Transfer RNA (tRNA) molecules are approximately 80 nucleotides in length. Their secondary structure includes four short double-helical elements and three loops (D, anti-codon, and T loops).
Source: RNAcentral
GCGGAAGUAGUUCAGUGGUAGAACAUCACCUUGCCAUGGUGGGGGUCGCGGGUUCGAAUCCCGUCUUCCGC